AACGAACGCUGGCGGCAGGCUUAACACAUGCAAGUCGAACGGGCACCUUCGGGUGUCAGUGGCAGACGGGUGAGUAACGCGUGGGAACGUACCCUUCGGUUCGGAAUAACCCAGGGAAACUUGGGCUAACACCGGAUACGUCCGCAAGGAGAAAGAUUUAUCGCCGAAGGAUCGGCCCGCGUCGGAUUAGCUAGUCGGUGGGGUAAUGGCCCACCAAGGCGACGAUCCGUAGCUGGUCUGAGAGGAUGANCAGCCACACUGGGACUGAGACACGGCCCAGACUCCUACGGGAGGCAGCAGUGGGGAAUAUUGGACAAUGGGCGAAAGGCCUGAUCCAGCCAUGCCGCGUGAGUGAAGAAGGCCUUAGGGUUGUAAAGCUCUUUCAGCGGGGAAGNUAAUGACGGUACCCGCAGAAGAAGUCCCGGCUAACUUCGU
This 435-nucleotide ribosomal RNA is filed under the name uncultured bacterium. Its description in RNAcentral is "bacterial SSU rRNA". It matches the Rfam family "Bacterial small subunit ribosomal RNA", at positions 29 to 506 of the family's 1533-position model. The record is from RNAcentral.